Molecule: ribosomal RNA, 497 nt
Filed under: uncultured bacterium
Lineage: Bacteria
Description: partial 16S ribosomal RNA
Rfam family: Bacterial small subunit ribosomal RNA
Source: RNAcentral
GAUGAACGCUGGCGGCGUGCCUAAUACAUGCAAGUCGAGCGAACAGACGAGGAGCUUGCUCCUCUUACGUUAGCGGCGGACGGGUGAGUAACACGUGGAUAACCUACCUAUAAGACUGGGAUAACUUCGGGAAACCUGAGCUAAUAUCGGAUAAUAUAUUGAACCGCAUGGUUCAAUAGUGAAAGCCGGUUUUGCUGUCACUUAUAGAUGGAUCCGCGCCGCAUUAGCUAGUUGGUAAGGUAACGGCUUACCAAGGCGACGAUGCGUAGCCGACCUGAGAGGGUGAUCAGCCACACUGGAACUGAGACACGGUCCAGACUCCUACGGGAGGCAGCAGUAGGGAAUCUUCGGCAAUGGGCGAAAGCCUGACGGAGCAAUGCCGCGUGAGGGAUGAAGGUCUUCGGAUCGUAAAACUCUGUGAUUAGGGAAGAAGAAAUGUGUAAGUAACUAUGCCCGUCUUGACGGUACCUAAUCAGAAAGCCACGGCUAACUACGUG